This 253-nucleotide ribosomal RNA is filed under the name uncultured bacterium. Its description in RNAcentral is "partial 16S ribosomal RNA". It matches the Rfam family "Bacterial small subunit ribosomal RNA", at positions 524 to 776 of the family's 1533-position model. The record is from RNAcentral.
UACAGAGGGUGCAAGCGUUAAUCGGAAUUACCGGGCGUAAAGCGCGCGUAGGUGGUUUGUUAAGUUGGAUGUGAAAUCCCCGGGCUCAACCUGGGAACUGCAUUCAAAACUGACUGACUAGAGUAUGGUAGAGGGUGGUGGAAUUUCCUGUGUAGCGGUGAAAUGCGUAGAUAUAGGAAGGAACACCAGUGGCGAAGGCGACCACCUGGACUAAUACUGACACUGAGGUGCGAAAGCGUGGGGAGCAAACAGG